Long non-coding RNA from Alosa alosa (allis shad), 2042 nucleotides. RefSeq lists it as uncharacterized. NCBI's taxonomy places the organism in Eukaryota, Metazoa, Chordata, Actinopteri, Clupeiformes, Clupeidae. The transcript has 3 exons. The record is from RefSeq and is a predicted model, not a curated record.
CUGUGAGGAGAGAAGGAGGAACUGUGUUUGCUCCUGCAUGGCCAAAGUGAGCUCCAUGUUGGCAGAGGCACACAUCAAAGAUAUGAUUACCCCCGGUGAACUGAAAUCUGAAGAACUGUGAUGCUGGAUGUGAUCAACAGAAAUACUACUUUGGGACCUUGCAUCUCGUUGGAUGAUCAGCCUGAUGGAUGUCAUCAUUACUUCACUGAAAAGCUCCUCAGCAAACUGCAGUUGCUCUGCUGUCGUCUGCCUGAAGCAGCUAUACAGGGGUGAAUAAGUGACUGGAUUUCUCUGUGACCCUGCUGACAGUGUAUGAAGUUCUGAGACACCUGGAGGCAUUGAGGUUUUCAAGAAUGGGAAUGAUCACUAGCCUCUAUGUUUGCACAUUAGGGCAAAAUAUAAUCCCUGCAAAUGGCAGGAGAGUUGGGUUGUUCACCCCAGCUAUGGAUGUACAUUUGGUUCUACAUAUGGAUUAUGAUGGCUUUUUAUUCUGUAUUUAAUUGAAUUCAAUUUCAACAACUCGAUUUAUACAACAAAGUGAAAGCUAAGUAUAAAGGGAUGUUUGUUAUUAAUUGGCUGUAUCUGUAAAGCAAUGUUGUGCACACCAGGGCAGAAUAAUCCCUGCACCAUUGCAGGGGGCUGGGUAGUCCACCCCAGCUACCCAAACCGUUGAUACAUCUGAAGCGCUGGAUUACUCGUUCAGCUCCUUGACACCAGGAUUUUUGAUUGUUUACACUUACUGAAGGAGGUCCAUGUUCAAGCAUAAGUGGAUAUUAUAUUUCCUAUGGAUGUAUAUUUGAGGCAGUGAGUGCACUUCAGGGCAGAAUAACCCCUGCACCACUGUAGGGGGGCUGGGUAGUCCACUCCAGCUCCCCAAAAGACAGAAUCCCUCUCAGAAUCACAUCAUGGAAGUGUUGGCCUCCCAAGCCUGCCUGGCCUUGAGUAAGCUACUAUGAACAGAGAUUCAACUACUACAGGCCAGAGACAUGGACUCCAUGGGGUGAGCAGUAAGAUUGUCAAGGGAACAGACCAUCAAUUGAAGGCUGUAACCCUGGGCCAGCCUGAGAACUUUUCUUCCCCAUGUGAAUCUUCCUGGUCGUCCAGGAUUCCUCUACUAAGAAUCUCCAUCCUGCUGUGGAUAGAGGCUGUAGACCAUCAUUGUGACCACCAUCAACUUCAGUGAGGAGCUUCUGGUGCACAUCCAUCACUGGCUGCAAAAGGGCUUUCACCACAGCUUCAUGGAUGCAGGUGCCUUUCACAUAUGGGAGUACAAAAUUACAGUGGCUGGAUUUAUUGAGAACAGGUGCAUUCUGGGGCAGAAUAAUCCCCGCACCUUUGCAGGGGGGCUGGGUAGUCCACCCCAGCUCCCCAAACCAUUACACCCAAAAUGCUGGAUUAUUACUCUUGCACUUUUUCAUACCUGGAUUUAUUGCUAUUUCACUGAGGGAUAUACAUUUUCAAGGAUAAGGAUCUAUGUAGUUGAGUCUGUAAAGCAGUGUGUGCACUACAGGGCAGAAUAAUCCCUGCACCAUUGUAGGAGGGCUGGGUAGUCCACCCCAGCUCCCCAAAUCUAUAGAUACAUUUAAAAUACUGGAUUAUUUCUUUUGCACAUUAUAAUAUCUGCAUUUUUGCCAUUUAUUGAUAUUGUCUGAGGUUAUAAAAGGGCAAGGAUGAGGAUAUAUGAUGUUGUGCUUGGACUUGUGAUGCAAUGUGUGCACUACAGGGCAGAAUAAUCCCUGCACCAUUGCAGGGGGGCUGGGUAGUCCACCCCAGCUCCCCAAAACUUUGAUACCUCUGAAGCACUGGAUUACUCUUUCAGCUCCUUGACACAUGGAUAUUUGGUUGAUAACGCUUAGUGAGGGAGGUCCAUGUUCAAGCAUAAGUGGAUAUUAUUUUUAUAUGGAUAUUUUUGACGCAGUGUGUGCACUUCAGGGCAGAAUAAUCCCUGCACCAUUGUAGGAGGGCUGGGUAGUCCACCCCAGCUCCCCAAAUCUAUAGAUACAUUUAAAACACUGGAUUAUUUCUUUUGCACAUUAUAAUAU